AACGUUUGUAUCCGCUUUCACCGUGCUGUGCGGAGCCCGGACUGACCUCCCUGACAGGCACAUGUGUUGUGUCUUCUGGCUGAACAUUGCUGCUGCUCUGAUUCAGAUCCUGACAGCGAUCGUGAUGGUUGGCUGGAUUAUGAGUAUAUUUUGGGGGAUGGACAUGGUCAUUCUUGCAAUCUCACAAGGCUACAAGGAACAGGGGAUCCCACAGCAGCUGUAGUGGCUGGCACAAGUAUGGUCAGAGAAACACGGCGAGAGAUUUCCUUUGGCAGCUGUGGGCCAUGGAACUUUUUAUUACCCUUUGUCUCUCUUCUUCUUCCUUUUGUUUUGUUUCCUUCUGUUUGAACCUGGUUCAUCUGCCCGUCCAGCGGAGCGGAGAUGCAGAGCAGCCGGUGGAGACUUGCACUGAUCCCACUGAGCAGCGGAGAUGAGGCAAGCACAGCUUGGGUUGGGACUGGUCCUGGCCAGCACGUGGUGGGCAGCAGACGAGGAGGAGGAGGAGGAGGAGGACGGUGCCAGGAAAAGGAAACACCCUUGGUGAAGGAUGCACCUGGGCAGGCAGCUGAACCGAGGCAGUGGGAGAUGCUGCUUUCCCUCUCCUCCCAGGGGGAGGUCACUGAAGACGUUUUGCCUCCUUUCUAUGCUCACUGUUAAAGGAAACUGGCUGUGAACAUCAGCUGCCAAGGAGCUGUUCAUAGAUACAUGUACAGUGUGUAAAAGCCAACCAGUGGUACUUUUUUCCCGCCCCAAGAUUCCAUCUUUGACUGCUUUGCAGUAGUGGAGGGUUCAGCACAGCCUCCUCUGCUGUCUGUAUAUACGAUACUCAAUGAAGUUCUGUCCUCACAGAUGUCUUGAGAAACGUGCUUGCUGUAAAUCGUAUUGUACUGCUGAAGUGAUCUGGGGGCGUCCCCUACUUCCAUCUGCUGCCAACAUGCAAAGACCAGACCUCCCACCAGCCCUGGGGAGACUUUAUCCAGCAAGGGACCGGUGCCCCGCAGCUCCUCUAGGGUGGCGGGUGCAGCCACGUGCUGCCAAAAGCUUCUAGUGUGAAACAAUACUGGGGGAGCCAAAACCCGAGGCUUUUCCUCCCUCUGAAAGAGACUUGCUGGCAGUGUCUCCAUGAUUUGGAAAUGGAUCUCCUUACAGCGUGACGUGUGCUCCUGGCUCAAGCAGUGUCCCAGCUCCGCUUCCCUGGGGGUCAAAUUAGUCACCCAGCACUUUUACACCUCUUUCCGAAGCACUGCAGAGGGAGGCCACCUCUUCUGGGACAAUACCUCCACCAACACCAGGGCUGGAUAACUCUCAUCCUGAUUGCAGGAGCUGUGCCAUGAGGUGCCACACCACUACUGCCAACCAGCCCUGCCUCCUUGCCAGCGCAGCCAGAGGUCACAGCCCCGAACACUUCAUCUGGUCCAAAGUGCAUGGCACCCAGCUAUCCCAAUGCCAUCACCUGCUUUAGAUGUUUUAGAUGCAAAUUUUACAGCUAAAGAGUGAUAGUGGGUAACAACGAAUAAAUGCAGUUGCUUCACUCCCAUCUGUCAGCAACACAGAAUUUUCUGCUGCUCUUUUCUGAUUGUGAAAACCAGGUUUCUCAAAAAACCAAAAAAAAAGGGCUUUAAUGAAAUAGUUCUAUGGUACUUGAACCCAGCCGGGCUGAACAGCUGAUUCACUAGUCACUGGAAAGCAAUUCCAGGUAGGACCAAACCAAAUGUGUGUUUGAAAUGUGUGGCCAGUCGAAAACCAGUUUCAUCACUCUGGGCCAGCCCAACCAUUGCAACACAGAGCACAUUAACAUUUUUUCCCAGUUUGUUGGUGUUGCCAAAUCCAUCUUUACCAUGGAAAAGGUGCUAUGGCAGAUGAUCCCCACUCUCCUAGCCCUUUGCCUGACUAGCUCAGCAUCGCUCUCAGCCAUGGCACACAUGCCUGGAAAUUGCAGCUGGGAAGGUCAGCUGGGAAUGGCUCUGGCAUGCAGCCAUGUGGUAGGGAGUGUUUAGAUGUGCUAGGUAACCCCAUCUGUGCCACAUCCUGUGCUUCCCAAGACACAAAGCUGCAUGGUCCUCCCUACGUCCGUUUACUGUCACACAUUUUAUUAAAGAUCUUUCAGUUCUACUGGAAAUUGCCCCUUGUCAUAGUCUUGCCUUGAGUAUUGUGCCAAGCUCUGUGGACAGGAGAGUCACAGUCCCAGUAUUCUUUAGGGGGACUGUUUUAUUCCACCCUUGCCUUGCCUCCUGCUUGUUUUGGGAUGACCCUGCAGUUCACAUACAUGCACAUACUCCAGCCAGGGUGUAAUUUAUUGCUAUUCAACCCAAACUGCAUCCACUGCAAUACACCACCAAGAGUUCAUUUAAAGCCCAGAUACAAGGAGACCUAUAAGCUUGGCUAGAUCUGAUAUUCCUCCCAGUUAAAAGCAGUGGCUUCUCCCACAUGCUUGCUAACCGUGGUGUGGUAACACGGCCCUGUACGUUCUAGCAGACUUCACUUCACACUCGCACACACUUUGAGGCAGUGCUGCAAUUUAUUUCCCAAACUGGCACUCAGCAUUUCCAUCUCCCUGUGGGAGCAGCAUGCUGCGAAACCCCAGGUCACAGUGGCACCAGCUGAACCAGGCUUAAUUACAGUGAAUCCCACUAGAGCCCAUGCCACCUACAAGCUAUUCUUCCUCCUCUUGUCAUCCCUAAGCCAAGAUAAAAUUCAAAUCCUCCUCUUGCACCCACCCACUGACUAGAGGAAAGCGGAAACACCCAAUCCUCACUGCUGGAAUGGUGCAGUGGGAAGUGGAAGGCUUCACUUAAGCUCCAGGAGUGGCAAGGCGAGAGUAGCUGAAUCCAUCUUCCAGCUCUAAGGUUGCUUUCAGCAGGCAGGUGAGAGGGAAUGGAACAUUUUGGCUUGGGAUAAAAACAGGGGCUCAGCAUUACCAGCACUGCCUGGAGGUGAUGGCAGCUCUCUCCCAAAUACCCAACAGGUGAUCUCACCCAGACCACAGCCCCACUUCCACUCACCACACGCAGACACAGGCGCUGCUCCAGAGGCUGGGAGGGGGAUAAGUUUUCCACUGCUGGCUCAAGUCCAUGUUCUCCUUGGUUUUGGCCAUGCAUGGGUACAUCAGAUUUUUCCACCCUAGGAAGGAGGGAGCAAGGGCCUGCCCACCUGUGUCAUUUGCACCCUGCUGGUGAGCCCACCUUUUGUUUUCGUACUGAAGCCCAAACUAAGGGGUUGCCGAGGACCAUUUGUAUGCCUGUUUAUAUCACCAAGUAUUGGAUUGUGACUUCUCGUGUUUUGAUACUGUGGAUAUUUUUUUUUUUAAAGUUAAAUAUAUUCUAUUGCUGGACAGCUGGAAUGAAA
Molecule: RNA transcript, 3345 nt
Organism: Manacus vitellinus (golden-collared manakin)
Lineage: Eukaryota; Metazoa; Chordata; Aves; Passeriformes; Pipridae
Gene: STUM
Gene name: stum, mechanosensory transduction mediator homolog
Exons: 4
Source: RefSeq, a predicted model, not a curated record